Molecule: ribosomal RNA, 253 nt
Filed under: uncultured bacterium
Lineage: Bacteria
Description: partial 16S ribosomal RNA
Rfam family: Bacterial small subunit ribosomal RNA
Source: RNAcentral
UACGUAGGGUGCAAGCGUUAAUCGGAAUUACUGGGCGUAAAGCGUGCGCAGGCGGUUCGUUAAGUCAGCUGUGAAAGCCCCGGGCUCAACCUGGGAACUGCGGUUGAAACUGGCGAACUAGAAUCUGGCAGAGGGGGGUGGAAUUCCACGUGUAGCAGUGAAAUGCGUAGAGAUGUGGAGGAACACCGAUGGCGAAGGCAGCCCCCUGGGCUGAGAUUGACGCUCAGGCACGAAAGCGUGGGGAGCAAACAGG